AACGAACGCUGGCGGCGCGCCUAAUACAUGCAAGUCGAGCGAGAAGACGUAGCAAUACGUUUGUAAAGCGGCGAACGGGUGAGGAAUACAUGGGUAACCUACCCUCGAGUGGGGAAUAACUAGCCGAAAGGUUAGCUAAUACCGCGUACGCUCCUUGGACUUCGGUUCAGGGAGGAAAGCGAUACCGUGGGUAUCGCGCUCUUGGAUGGGCUCAUGUCCUAUCAGCUUGUUGGUGAGGAACGGCUCACCAAGGCUUCGACGGGUAGCUGGUCUGAGAGGACGAUCAGCCACACUGGCACUGCGACACGGGCCAGACUCCUACGGGAGCAGCAGUAAGGAAUAUUGCGCAAUGGGCGAAAGCCUGACGCAGCGACGCCGCGUGGGGA
This 386-nucleotide ribosomal RNA is filed under the name uncultured bacterium. RNAcentral describes it as "bacterial SSU rRNA". It matches the Rfam family "Bacterial small subunit ribosomal RNA", at positions 29 to 407 of the family's 1533-position model. The record is from RNAcentral.